This 530-nucleotide ribosomal RNA is filed under the name uncultured bacterium. RNAcentral describes it as "bacterial SSU rRNA". It matches the Rfam family "Bacterial small subunit ribosomal RNA", at positions 777 to 1304 of the family's 1533-position model. The record is from RNAcentral.
AAUAGAUACCCGGGUAGUCCACGCCGUAAACGAUGAGUGCUAAGUGUUAGAGGGGUUUCCGCCCUUUAGUGCUGCAGCUAACGCAUUAAGCACUCCGCCUGGGGAGUACGGUCGCAAGACUGAAACUCAAAGGAAUUGACGGGGGCCCGCACAAGCGGUGGAGCAUGUGGUUUAAUUCGAAGCAACGCGAAGAACCUUACCAGGUCUUGACAUCCCACUGACCGGUAUAGAGAUAUACCUUUCCCUUCGGGGACAGUGGUGACAGGUGGUGCAUGGUUGUCGUCAGCUCGUGUCGUGAGAUGUUGGGUUAAGUCCCGCAACGAGCGCAACCCUUGAUCUUAGUUGCCAGCAUUUAGUUGGGCACUCUAAGGUGACUGCCGGUGACAAACCGGAGGAAGGUGGGGAUGACGUCAAAUCAUCAUGCCCCUUAUGACCUGGGCUACACACGUGCUACAAUGGAUGGUACAAAGGGCUGCAAGACUGCGAAGUCAAGCCAAUCCCAUAAAACCAUUCUCAGUUCGGAUUGCAGG